UCCUUCCACAAGUGAUCACACUGAUC
This 26-nucleotide non-coding RNA is filed under the name Homo sapiens (human). The record is from RNAcentral. Lineage: Eukaryota; Metazoa; Chordata; Mammalia; Primates; Hominidae.